UGAGAUAUAACUCAGUGGUAGAGCACUUGCCUAGCACGCAGGAAGCUCUAGGUUUAAUCCCCAGUGUCACAA
Molecule: transfer RNA, 72 nt
Filed under: Fukomys damarensis (Damara mole-rat)
Lineage: Eukaryota; Metazoa; Chordata; Mammalia; Rodentia; Bathyergidae
Rfam family: tRNA
About the family: Transfer RNA (tRNA) molecules are approximately 80 nucleotides in length. Their secondary structure includes four short double-helical elements and three loops (D, anti-codon, and T loops). Further hydrogen bonds mediate the characteristic L-shaped molecular structure. tRNAs have two regions of fundamental functional importance: the anti-codon, which is responsible for specific mRNA codon recognition, and the 3' end, to which the tRNAs corresponding amino acid is attached (by aminoacyl-tRNA synthetases). tRNAs cope with the degeneracy of the genetic code in two manners: having more than one tRNA (with a specific anti-codon) for a particular amino acid; and 'wobble' base-pairing, i.e. permitting non-standard base-pairing at the 3rd anti-codon position.
Source: Rfam by way of RNAcentral